UGGGGAAUUUUGGACAAUGGGCGCAAGCCUGAUCCAGCCAUGCCGCGUGAGUGAAGAAGGCCUUCGGGUUGUAAAGCUCUUUCGGUGGGAACGAAACGGACGCGGCGAAUAGCUGCGUUUAAUGACGGUACUCACAGAAGAAGCACCGGCUAACUACGUGCCAGCAGCCGCGGUAAUACGUAGGGUGCAGGCGUUAAUCGGAAUUACUGGGCGUAAAGGGUGCGCAGGCGGCGGCUCAAGUCAGGUGUGAAAGCCCCGGGCUUAACCUGGGAUGUGCGCUUGAAACUAGGUCGCUAGAGUGUGUCAGAGGGGGGUGGAAUUCCACGUGUAGCAGUGAAAUGCGUAGAGAUGUGGAGGAACACCGAUGGCGAAGGCAGCCCCCUGGGAUAACACUGACGCUCGGGCACGAAAGCGUGGGGAGCAAACAGGAUUAGAUACCCCCGUAGUCC
Molecule: ribosomal RNA, 449 nt
Filed under: uncultured bacterium
Lineage: Bacteria
Description: bacterial SSU rRNA
Rfam family: Bacterial small subunit ribosomal RNA
Source: RNAcentral